RNAcentral lists this ribosomal RNA (485 nucleotides) under Vibrio parahaemolyticus. RNAcentral describes it as "bacterial SSU rRNA". It matches the Rfam family "Bacterial small subunit ribosomal RNA", at positions 1 to 471 of the family's 1533-position model. The record is from RNAcentral. Lineage: Bacteria; Pseudomonadati; Pseudomonadota; Gammaproteobacteria; Vibrionales; Vibrionaceae.
AAAUUGAAGAGUUUGAUCAUGGCUCAGAUUGAACGCUGGCGGCAGGCCUAACACAUGCAAGUCGAGCGGAAACGAGUUAUCAGAACCUUCGGGGAACGAUAACGGCGUCGAGCGGCGGACGGGUGAGUAAUGCCUAGGAAAUUGCCCUGAUGUGGGGGAUAACCAUUGGAAACGAUGGCUAAUACCGCAUGAUGCCUACGGGCCAAAGAGGGGGACCUUCGGGCCUCUCGCGUCAGGAUAUGCCUAGGUGGGAUUAGCUAGUUGGUGAGGUAAGGGCUCACCAAGGCGACGAUCCCUAGCUGGUCUGAGAGGAUGAUCAGCCACACUGGAACUGAGACACGGUCCAGACUCCUACGGGAGGCAGCAGUGGGGAAUAUUGCACAAUGGGCGCAAGCCUGAUGCAGCCAUGCCGCGUGUGUGAAGAAGGCCUUCGGGUUGUAAAGCACUUUCAGUCGUGAGGAAGGUAGUGUAGUUAAUAGCUGCAU